Non-coding RNA from Pelobates cultripes (western spadefoot toad), 976 nucleotides. The record is from the annotation of a GenBank genome assembly. NCBI's taxonomy places the organism in Eukaryota, Metazoa, Chordata, Amphibia, Anura, Pelobatidae.
AUUAUUUGCAGGCUAAAAUUGAUUUUUUAGUAUCAAUGAUAGAGUCAAUUUGACAUUUGCUGUCUUUGAUCACGUAUGUCUACUAAAAAUGUCUCCAUCCACCCUCAAGAUGGCAUUCUGUAAUAUGCGAUGGCUCUAAGCUGCCCUAGAGAUUCCAGGAGUUGUAGGGGUCACUUAGAGUCAGGGCUGGCUGCAUAUAAAGUCACUAAUAACUGCCAUAUUUGUAGUACUUACCACAAUGCCAAUGAAAAAGAAAAAGAAUGUGACAAACAGGAAGAACUAUAUAUAUUCCCCCAUUUUCUGGUCCCUAGUGAUGUUAAUAAGGACUCAGCACCCCUGUACAGAACAGUAUAAUAACAGCGCAGUAGUGUGCUAAAUAUUUAGAAAGAGCAAUGUUUAGAGGAAAUGUUAUAAAAUGACACCAAUCAUGCGUUCUAUGACAGGUGUACUUAAUAUGAUAAAACUGGAAAUAUGCAUCUUAGAGAUGUGACUAUUUGGGAUAUAAUAUCCCCAAUUAUAUUGCUUGCUAGCUUGGCAGCCACAAAUAUUAACCCUUUAAGGACACGACAUGUGUGACAUGUCAUGAUUCCCUUUUAUUUCAGAAGUUUGGUCCUUAAGGGGUUAAAUGUUCUUUUGCUAUCUUGCUUUUCUUGAAGCUUCUGCAAUGUCAUGCUCUUAGUUUGCAAUUUAUGGCUAUAGCUAUGUUGUGAAUAGCAUAUGAAAAGCUUUUAAGCAUUGCUCUUUCUACUCUCUGUAUAUCCAUCCAUUGGUCCAGACUCCUAUUUAUGAGGACUCAACAAUGCUGACCUGAAUAGGACAAUCCCCGUUUGGACAGUGUACAUUUAUUGAGUUGCAUCAUACAAGAACAGCUUAUGGAACCUAAAAGCCAGGGUUUGGCAAGUCUAGAGCCUCUAGACUUAAAGCAGACUCAUUACCAAAGUGAAAAAGGAACAAUAUUUACUUUAAUACCUAGAAU